Long non-coding RNA from Triticum aestivum (bread wheat), 1738 nucleotides. RefSeq lists it as uncharacterized. NCBI's taxonomy places the organism in Eukaryota, Viridiplantae, Streptophyta, Magnoliopsida, Poales, Poaceae. The transcript has 9 exons. The record is from RefSeq and is a predicted model, not a curated record.
CGGAGGUGCGGCAGGACAAUCUCGACGAGCAGGUCAAGCUCUUGGUGAAGGAGGUUAGGAGGCUGUCCUACCACAUGGAGGUUGUGGUCGACGAGGUCCUGGUGCUCGCCCUCAACUCGGAAGGGUUAAGGGGGCACAUUUAGAAUAUGGGCAGCUUGCUCAAGAAAGGCAGGACUCGCCACCAGAUCAUUCUCCGGUGGCUGAUUUCGAGUGCGUCGGCUCGAUCUGCAACGGCCUUCCUCCACUCCAACGCCGUGCGGACGACGCCAUGGAAGGGCCACCAUGACCAGGAGCAGGACGACGCCUUGGAAGGUUCACCGACAGCAGCAGCUACGGUCCGGUCUUCUCCACUGACAGGGAUAUGGACAUGGAGGUCCGCCAUGGAAGGCCUGGAGCUCGUCAUGGAGGGUCCCUCCUCCCUCUUCCCCUCCCUCCACUCUGUUGGUUGGUUGGACGGAAGACCACCGCUUGUCCGGCUCUGCUUCUUCCACCGCUGCUCCCCUCCCACCAUUGUGCCAGAGACGCUGUGCCAAGCACGGAAGAUCAUGUGUCGUUUGUCAAGGAAAUCGCUGUGAUUGAUCCCCCGGAGCAUCUUAUCUUUUUGUUGAAUGUGCUUCAGGCAUGAGGCAUGACUUCACAUAUCUGAGUAAGAGUUUUCAUUUCCAAGGAUUCUUCAGUCGUGCCAACAGACCCUUUGUCAUGCAAGUUGAAAUAAUCUAAUAAUUAUUACAGUUUUAGAUUAGAGAAGAGAAAGAUCCAGAGAUUUUCAUACCUAGAGGAACUCGCCUUCUUGAUGCUCCUUGCUUACAUGAGGUCUAAUAUCUGGGAGUUCGAACAAGUUGGAUGAAUUUCUCCAUUCCAGUUUCUCUAUGUUUACCCAAUGCCAAAGUAACCAGUAAAUAACUUACGGCGACAGUACAAUACAUAUAUGUACAGGGAUUUUAUGUGAAACAAGUUAACGAGCAGCUUCCCGAAAGAGAUGGAAACCAAUGGAACCUAUGAUAUGCACAUAAAUCAAUGGAACCUAUUCAAACAUGUUGCCUUCUCAGUCGGCUGGAGCUUCAUGUGGGUUAUUUUAUUUGGAAUCCUAUUUGCCGGGGUCGGAUCAUAUGCAGUGUACAAAUACAGUCUACAGUCUACAGGUUCCGUAAAAUGGCAGCGGGUAGAGUUCUUGUCCUGCACAAAGGAAGGUAUAUGGCUCGGUAGGACACAAGAACAGUCAGGACCAUGUACUAAUUGGACGAACAGUUGGGCCUAUGUGACACCAGUCUCUUCCAGCAUUAGUUCUUCCAGAAGUAAACUGUGUACAGGUUACUAACCUGUGGCUCGCUCGCAGCCGCGCCGGGACCCGUGUCUCGCUCGCAGCCGCGCCGGCACCCGUGGAUCGCUGGCAGCCGCGCCGGCACCGGGGGCAAAGUUUGAAGAAACAGGCCUCGCUCACCUGAUCUGACGGGAAACUUUGAAGAAACAAUUCAAAUCGACAUGAUCCGAACGCAAACCUGGAAGCGUGGAGAAUCGGGUCUUGCCCGCCCCGAUCGGAAGAUAGGAUUUGACAAUUGUUUGUUGUCUAUGGAAAGAGUAAAAAUAUUUGAUUAAACUGUUGUUUAUGGAAGCUUCUCGUGACGGGAUUUUUUGAUAUGAUUCCAUAUGAAUUGAUUUGAUUGGUGUCGUAAAUGGAAGGGAAGGAUGGAAGGUUUGUUGUUUUAUAUGGAAAGGGAUGGAACGUUUGGCUUGGUUA